CAUUGGGCGUAAAGGGUGCGUAGAUGGCANGAUAAGUUAUCAGUGGUAAAAUCGGGGCUCAACCUCGUGGAAGCUGGUAAUACUGUCAUACUUGAGUGCAGGAGAGGUUAACGGAACUCCAUGUGGAGCGGUAAAAUGCUUAGAUAUAUGGAUGAACACCAAUAACGGCGAAGGCAGUUAACUAUUCUGUUACUGACAUUGAGGCACGAAAGCGUGGGGAGCAAAAAGGAUUAGAUACCCUUGUAGUCCACGCCCUAAACGAUGAGUGCUAGAUAUUGGGAACUUGUUUCUCAGUGUCGCUAGGUAACCCAGUAAGCACUCCGCCUGGGUAGUAUGCUCGCAAGAGUGAAACUCAAAGGAAUUGACGGGGACUCGCACAAGCAGUGGAGCAUGUGGUUUAAUCCGAUACAACGCGUAGAACCUUACCAAGGCUUGACAUGUUUGGCAAAGCUCGGGAAACCGAGCGGAGGUUAUCCAAACACAGGUGCUGCAUGGCCGUCGUCAGUUCGUGCCGUGAGGUGUAUGGUUAAGUCCUAUAACGAACGCAACCCUUAGGCUUAGUUGCCAGCAUUCAGUUGGGGACUCUAGGCCGACUGCCUGAGUAAUCAGGAGGAAGGAAAGGAUGACCGU
This 630-nucleotide ribosomal RNA is filed under the name Candidatus Moeniiplasma glomeromycotorum. RNAcentral describes it as "bacterial SSU rRNA". It matches the Rfam family "Bacterial small subunit ribosomal RNA", at positions 552 to 1185 of the family's 1533-position model. The record is from RNAcentral. Lineage: Bacteria; Bacillati; Mycoplasmatota; Mollicutes; Mycoplasmatales; Mycoplasmataceae.